UUUGUUACAGGGUACACUGAAAAGACCAGAGGACCUGGGUUCAAAUCCCAGCUCUGCCGCUUACUUCUGGUGGGACCUCGGACAGCUCUCUAAGAUGUAAAUUACAGCUAACUUGGCAUUGGUGGCAAUGGAGGAGUCAUCAUAUGGAUAAAAUAAGAAAUACAGAUAAAAGAAAGAAAAGUUUACUUCUGCUAUCCAAUAAUGUGAUAAUAUUCACCUGAAAUGCUGAGAGGAAUCAGAAGAUGCACACCAUUUUCCUCUUGUAAACUCUCUGGACCUUUGAACAAUUUCCAAGGUCUCUUCACAUUUUCCACCCUUGACAUAUGCACUGGUAUCAUCGUCAUAGGACAGUUAAUGGGCAGGUCCGCCAUCUGCAUGAACAAGAGCCAGAGUGAUUUGGGUUUAAGGCUUACUGAGUAGCUCCAUUUGAAUCCCAAUGGGUCUUACCAAAGCCUGAUUUUUCUAGAACUCUACUUCAAGAAAUCCACUUUCUUUUGAGCAGAACACCCACAUGAAGUAUGGAUUGACUGGCUUACGGAGCUUACUGAAUAAGCUGCAUUCUGCAUGCACAGCCUAAGCUUAUAGGGUC
This is a non-coding RNA of Phascolarctos cinereus (koala), 589 nucleotides long. The record is from RefSeq and is a predicted model, not a curated record. NCBI's taxonomy places the organism in Eukaryota, Metazoa, Chordata, Mammalia, Diprotodontia, Phascolarctidae.